UACGUAGGGAGCAAGCGUUGUCCGGAAUCAUUGGGCGUAAAGCGCGCGUAGGCGGCUCGAUCAGUCUGUUGUGAAAGUCAAAGGCUCAACCUUUGAAUGCCGAUGGAUACUGUCGAGCUAGAGUCCGGAAGAGGCGGGUGGAAUUCCUGGUGUAGCGGUGGAAUGCGCAGAUAUCAGGAGGAACACCGAUGGCGAAGGCAGGUCUCUGGGCAUUAACUGACGCUGAGGAGCGAAAGCAUGGGGAGCGAACAGG
RNAcentral lists this ribosomal RNA (253 nucleotides) under uncultured bacterium. RNAcentral's name for it is "partial 16S ribosomal RNA". It matches the Rfam family "Bacterial small subunit ribosomal RNA", at positions 524 to 776 of the family's 1533-position model. The record is from RNAcentral.